Molecule: transfer RNA, 72 nt
Filed under: Pangasianodon gigas (Mekong giant catfish)
Lineage: Eukaryota; Metazoa; Chordata; Actinopteri; Siluriformes; Pangasiidae
Description: tRNA-Glu
Source: RNAcentral
UGUAGGGAGGACUAGUGGUUAGGCCUUGGUGUUCUCACCACCAUGGCCCGGGUUUGAUUCCCGGCCAGGGAU